Molecule: ribosomal RNA, 497 nt
Filed under: uncultured bacterium
Lineage: Bacteria
Description: partial 16S ribosomal RNA
Rfam family: Bacterial small subunit ribosomal RNA
Source: RNAcentral
AACGAACGCUGGCGGCAUGCCUAAUACAUGCAAGUCGAGCGAACAGUUCAGGAGCUUGCUCCUCUGACGGUAUAGGCGGACGGAUGAGUCACACGUGUAUAACAUACCUCUACGACUGGGAUAACUACGGGGAACAGGAGCUACUACCGGAUAAUUUAUUGACCCGGAUGGGGCAAUAGUGAGAUACGGUUUUGGUGUCGCUAAUAGCUGGCUCAGCGCCGCAUUAACUAGUUGGUAAGGUAAAGGAUUAACAACGCGACGAUGCGGAGCCGACCUCAAAGGGACAUCCGCCACACGGGCACUGAGACACGGUCCAGACUCCGACGGGAGGCAGCAGUAGGGACUCUUACGCAAUGGGCGAAAGCCUAAUAGUGCACAGCCGCGUGAGUCAUGAACGUCUACGGAUCGGAAAGCGAUGUUAGUAGUGAAGAACAAAUGCGCAAGUAACUAUGCACGUCUUGACGGUACCGAAUCAGAAAGCCCCGGCUAACUCCGUG